UUUAAUGAUCUAAUAAUUAAAUUGAUUUAUUGCAUUCAAAAUACAUGUAUUUGUUUAUUGAGUUUCGAUUGUACAGUCAGUCCAUUGUUUACGGUUUGCCAUGUAAAUCUUUACAACCAUAUAUUUAAACAUACGAAAGAAUAUGCUUUGAAGCGCCUCGUGGACUUUGUCAUAUAUAAACACGUGUUCCCGCUCAAUUUUCAUUCAAUGAUUAUUUCUCAACAGAAUUGCACAAGGAUAGGACCAGAGCGUAAAUAAGAUAAGUUGGUUAAGUUUAUCCGUUAUACUUUAGAUAUGUUUCCUUUUAUUCAUUUUAAUUCACUAUAAUAAUUUGGUUUAUAUUUAAAGAGCAAACCUUUUUUACCUGUGAGUUGACAUUCUGUGACGAUAAAGUAAAACGGGUAACUUUAAGUUUAACACGUGUUCGCAUGUGUUCGUAAAAUUAUAUGUUUCUCUUCACGUUCAUUAUUAAAUUAAUGAAUUGUUUAAUGUCACUUUAAUUAGAUUUAUAUAUAUAUAUGUGCUUAUUUAUGACCAUUCAAUUUCAUUUACUUAUGGUUGUUGCAUUUAAUUCACAGUUCUUUAACAAGGUAUUUUUAUCGAAUAGAAGAAAUGAAGUAAGCCGGAGAUUAAGACCAAAGGUAAACAACGUUGGAGUUCAACGACCUGUUCCUCGUGAAGUACCAGCACCAGAACAGGUACCCGCUCCUGAGGAAGUUGUCCGAGUGGUAAACAGAGGAAGACACAGAAAAAGAAGGCGUGCAGCGCCCGAGCUUCAACAACCAGAUCAACCUGUGGAGCCCAAUAAUCAACAUCCACCUCAGAAACAACUGAAAACUACGGCAGUUCACGCUCAACCGGGUAAUACUUUAAAUACUACUGUCCUUUGUUUAUACCAUGUUCUAAUGAAAUUGACAUAAUUAUUUCUCAGCAAAUAAUAGAGAAAAUUCGGAAUUGUAAAAAUGUUGAUUUUGGUACUCUUCUUCAACAAAAUAGUCAAUAUUAUAGUAGUUUGGACCAGAAACAAAGUGUAAUGGUUAAAAUUGGAAUGCUUGUCAUUUCUCAUUACCCUUCAAAGGACAAUACAAUAAAUAACAUUGAAUUAUGGACUGAAGCAUUUGAAUUUUUUUUUUUUUUUUUUUUUUUUUUUUUUUUUUUUUU
This is a long non-coding RNA of Mytilus californianus (California mussel), 1161 nucleotides long. RefSeq lists it as uncharacterized. NCBI's taxonomy places the organism in Eukaryota, Metazoa, Mollusca, Bivalvia, Mytilida, Mytilidae. The record is from RefSeq and is a predicted model, not a curated record. The transcript has 2 exons.